UACGGAGGGUGCAAGCGUUAUCCGGAUUCACUGGGUUUAAAGGGUGCGUAGGCGGGUAUAUAAGUCAGUGGUGAAAGCUCCGGGCUUAACUUGGAAAUUGCCAUUGAUACUGUAUAUCUUGAAUAUCGUAGAGGUUAGCGGAAUGUUGCAUGUAGCGGUGAAAUUCGUAGAUAUUCGGAAGAACACCAGUGGCGAAGGCGACUUACUGGACACAUAUUGACGCUGAGGUGCGAAAGCGUGGGGAGCAAACAGG
This 253-nucleotide ribosomal RNA is filed under the name uncultured bacterium. RNAcentral's name for it is "partial 16S ribosomal RNA". It matches the Rfam family "Bacterial small subunit ribosomal RNA", at positions 524 to 776 of the family's 1533-position model. The record is from RNAcentral.